This 435-nucleotide ribosomal RNA is filed under the name uncultured bacterium. Its description in RNAcentral is "partial 16S ribosomal RNA". It matches the Rfam family "Bacterial small subunit ribosomal RNA", at positions 28 to 507 of the family's 1533-position model. The record is from RNAcentral.
GAUGAACGCUGGCGGUAUGCUUAACACAUGCAAGUCGAACGGACUCUUCGGAGUUAGAGGCGGACGGGUGAGUAACGCGUGAGAAUCUGGCUUUGGGUUCGGGACAACCACUGGAAACGGUGGCUAAUACCGGAUGUGCCGAGAGGUAAAAGAGAAAUUGCCUGAAGAUGAGCUCGCGUCUGAUUAGCUAGUUGGUGAGGUAAAGGCUCACCAAGGCAGCGAUCAGUAGCUGGUCUGAGAGGAUGACCAGCCACACUGGGACUGAGACACGGCCCAGACUCCUACGGGAGGCAGCAGUGGGGAAUUUUCCGCAAUGGGCGAAAGCCUGACGGAGCAAUACCGCGUGAGGGAAGAAGGCUCUUGGGUUGUAAACCUCUUUUCUUAGGGAAGAACAAAAUGACGGUACCUAAGGAAUCAGCAUCGGCUAACUCCGUG